This 519-nucleotide ribosomal RNA is filed under the name uncultured bacterium. RNAcentral's name for it is "partial 16S ribosomal RNA". It matches the Rfam family "Bacterial small subunit ribosomal RNA", at positions 355 to 863 of the family's 1533-position model. The record is from RNAcentral.
UGGGGAAUCUUCCGCAAUGGACGAAAGUCUGACGGAGCAACGCCGCGUGUAUGAUGAAGGUCUUCGGAUUGUAAAGUACUGUCAUUGGGGAAGAACGGUUUUCUUGAAAAGAUUGAGAAGACAUGACGGUACCCAAGGAGGAAGCCCCGGCUAACUACGUGCCAGCAGCCGCGGUAAUACGUAGGGGGCAAGCGUUGUCCGGAAUUAUUGGGCGUAAAGGGCGCGUAGGCGGGCCUUUAAGUCCGGUGUGAAAGAUCAGGGCUCAACCCUGAGAGUGCAUCGGAAACUGGAGGCCUUGAGGACAGGAGAGGAAAGUGGAAUUCCACGUGUAGCGGUGAAAUGCGUAGAUAUGUGGAGGAACACCAGUGGCGAAGGCGACCUUCUGGACUGUAACUGACGCUGAGGCGCGAAAGCGUGGGGAGCAAACAGGAUUAGAUACCCUGGUAGUCCACGCCGUAAACGAUGAGUGCUAGGUGUAGAGGGUAUCGACCCCCUUCUGUGCCGCAGUUAACACAAUAA